Molecule: long non-coding RNA, 331 nt
Filed under: Nicotiana benthamiana
Lineage: Eukaryota; Viridiplantae; Streptophyta; Magnoliopsida; Solanales; Solanaceae
Description: long non-coding RNA (NBEN_LNC008515)
Source: RNAcentral
AAAGGCAUACCGGAAGCUAGGGUGGGCCGCACCGGACUUACUGCCGUACCUUAGAUUGUAACUUUCUGGGAUCAAGCUUAUUUCAAGAAUCAUGAACGCUUUGGCAGCAACCAACAGAAACUUUAAGCUAGCAUCUCGUUUGCUAGGCUUGGAUUCCAAGCUUGAACAGUGUCUCCUCAUUCCAUUUAGGGAGAUUAAGGUUUGUUGCUCUUUCCAUUUUUGUCUUUUUGCAUUUCUUUUCUUUGUUCCAUUUGGGUGCUGCAAUACACCUCAUUCCAUUUAGGGAGAUAAAGGUUGAGUGUACAAUACCAAAGGACGACGGCUCAUUGGC